GAUGAACGCUAGCUACAGGCUUAACACAUGCAAGUCGAGGGGAAACGAUGAGAGAGCUUGCUCUCUUAGUCGUCGACCGGCGCACGGGUUAGUAACGCGUAUCCAACCUGCCUCUGACCAAGGUAUAACCCGUCGAAAGUCGGACUAAUACCUUAUGCAGUCGUCGGAAGUCAUCUGAUGACGACGAAAGAUUUCAUCUGUGAGAGAUGGGGAUGCGUCUGAUUAGCUUGUUGGCGGGGUAACGGCCCACCAAGGCGACGAUCAGUAGGGGUUCUGAGAGGAAGGUCCCCCACAUUGGAACUGAGACCAGGUCCAAACACCUACGGGAGGAAGCAGUGAGGAAUAUUGGGGAAGGGACGUAAGCCUGAACCAGCCAAGUAGGGUGCAGGAGGACGGCGGUAGGGAUUGUAAACUGCUUGUAUGCGGGGAUAAAGUGAGGGACGUGUCCUUCAUUGAAGGUACCGGAUGAAUAAGGACCGGCUAAUUCCGUG
Molecule: ribosomal RNA, 491 nt
Filed under: uncultured bacterium
Lineage: Bacteria
Description: partial 16S ribosomal RNA
Rfam family: Bacterial small subunit ribosomal RNA
Source: RNAcentral